Molecule: long non-coding RNA, 561 nt
Organism: Lolium rigidum
Lineage: Eukaryota; Viridiplantae; Streptophyta; Magnoliopsida; Poales; Poaceae
Exons: 2
Source: RefSeq, a predicted model, not a curated record
GCUGCACUUUUUUCGUCUUGGAUCACCAAAAAUCCUUUUACCCAUUUUUGCAUUCCCUUGUUGGCUUGGUCUUGCGCGUGGUUACUCUUAAAUGCUAAAAACUUCAAUUUGGUUUUUUUUGUAGGACUAUUGCUACUGACGAUCAUAGCCUAAACAGAUGGCCCGUACCUAAGCCAUUUUGGUGUUAUCCGACAUGGCAUCUGUCUGAGGAAGAAAUUGAUGUAGACGAGUUUGUAGCCGACAUGAAUGUCCCCUUUUGAUGAAUUGUGGUUGUAUUCUUUUGGGUAUCAAACGGAACUCGCUAACUUAGAUAAAACGGAGUCGCUGAUUCAAAAUGAAGUUGAAAUCAGCUGAACAUUUACUGGCAGGACUAGGUUGUUCUGCACAUAAGUGCAGCUAGUUUACUUCCUUUGUACUACCUCCGUUCUAGUGUAGCCUGUGCAUGCACGUAUCGUACCUGCUGCCGGCGUCGAUUAAUUCGGACCGGAGGUAAUAGAAAGCAAUAGUUUCUAUUUCUUGCUUGGCACUUUGACCAUGCAUAUGGUAAAUGUGGUUUUUGAU